This 236-nucleotide long non-coding RNA is filed under the name Lathyrus oleraceus (garden pea). RNAcentral's name for it is "Pisum sativum (pea) long non-coding RNA (PSAT_LNC014936)". Lineage: Eukaryota; Viridiplantae; Streptophyta; Magnoliopsida; Fabales; Fabaceae. The record is from RNAcentral.
UUUUUUGCAUUUUUCUUUUUCCAGCAGCUUAAGCAUAUUCCUUAUAGUACUUCUUUUAUAAUUUUUUAUAUUGUUUCUUUUAAAAUUCUAUUUUCUUUUCUAGCACUUAAUUAAUUUUUCGCACAAUAGUUUCUACACCGGAAACUAUUGUGUACCUUUUACCGGAUCUAACCUUACGUUAGAAUCUAGUUUUUUAUUCCUUCGCUUUAUUUUUCUGCCUGAUUGAAGAACUCAAN